GGGGGGGAAUUGACAGUCUUGGGGGUGAGGAGAGGGGGGGGUCAUUUGGAGUGUGUCGGAUGAGCAGGGAGAGUGUGACAAGGUCUUGACAGGUUUGGUUAAGAGAGACUGUGUCUUCAAAGUUAAUCAAGUGAUCUCUGACACUGGAUUAGUUGCUGCUGUAGACCUUCUGGAUUAGGUGCUGCUGUAGGCCUUCUGGAUUAGGUGCUGCUGUAGACCUUCUGGAUUAGGUGCUGAUGUAGACCUUCUGGAUUAGGUGCUGCUGUAGUCCUUCUGGAUUAGGUGCUGCUGUAGACCUUCUGGAUUAGGUGCUGCUGUAGACCUUCUGGAUUAGGUGCUGCUGUAGACCUUCUGGAUUAGGUGCUGCUGUAGACCUUCUGGAUUAGGUGCUGUUGUAGACCUUCUGAAUUAGAUGCUGCUGUAGACCUUCUGGAUUAGGUGCUGCUGUAGACCUUCUGGAUUAGGUGCUGCUGUAGACCUUCUGGAUUAGGGGCUGCUGUAGACCUUCUGGAUUAGGUGCUGCUGUAGACCUUCUGGAUUAGGUGCUGCUGUCGACCUUCUGGAUUAGGUGCUGCUGUAGACCUUCUGGAUUAGGUGCUGUUGUAGACCUUCUGGAUUAGGUGCUGCUGUCGACCUUCUGGAUUAGGUGCUGCUGUAGACCUUCUGGAUUAGGUGCUGCUGUAGACCUUCUGGAUUAGGUGC
Molecule: long non-coding RNA, 702 nt
Organism: Oncorhynchus tshawytscha (Chinook salmon)
Lineage: Eukaryota; Metazoa; Chordata; Actinopteri; Salmoniformes; Salmonidae
Source: Ensembl